Non-coding RNA from Heterocephalus glaber (naked mole-rat), 2390 nucleotides. The record is from RefSeq and is a predicted model, not a curated record. NCBI's taxonomy places the organism in Eukaryota, Metazoa, Chordata, Mammalia, Rodentia, Bathyergidae.
UCUCCCUUGGGCGACAGAAGAGAUUCACCGUGACCUUGUAAAUCUCCACAUUUCUGCCAAUCCCCACUCGGGCUUCCAUUCCUAUCUUUUCCUUUUUUUUCCUUUGGUACUGGGGAUCAAACUCGGGACCUUGUGCUUAUGAGGCAGGCACCGGAACCACUGAGCUAAAUCCCGGGCAAGCCUUUUAUCUUUCUGGUACCGGGGAUCAAACUCGGGACCUUGCAUUUGCAAGGCAGGCAUGGCGCCACUGAGCGAACUCCCGGCCUGGCUUCUAGAAUCUUGUAGAACCUCCAGAAGAGCCCGGGACUUUCCAGGAACCUCUAGAAAUUUCCAGACUCUUAUAGAACCCUUCGCACUGAGCCCCAUGUCCAGCCCCUGUUGCUGUUUUUAUUUUGAGCCAGGGCCUUGCCAUGUGGCUGAGUUGCCCGGGCCAGGUUGGAACAUGAGAUCCUCCCGCCUCAGCCUCUCAGAGUGCUGGCGUGACAGGCGUGCGCCACGUGGGCUGAGGCAGGGCGGUUCCGUGGUCUUCCAGGCGCUGGACGAAGACACGUAUUUCUGCUCCUUCCCCAACUCGGUCCUGCACCGCGGGGCCGUCUUCGAGGUCCACGCCGCCAUGGGCAACGCCACCUUCCAGGAGACCCUGCGCUUCGACAACCCAGGCAGGCCCCGGGGCCGGCGCCGCCAACCUGUCCUGCAUCAUCUAUGACGUGCACGCCAUGAACUGCAGCUGGGCGCCGGGCCAAACAGCCCCCGUGGACACCGUCUACCAGCUGUUCUGGUUCGACCCGAACGACGCCGAGGCCGAAUGCCUCCACUACUCCCUGGACUCAAAGGGGCUGCGCGUGGGCUGCCAUUUCACCCAGCUCGGCCGGGAGCCCAAGACGUUGGGUAAUUCCUUCUUCCUGGUCCACGGCACCAGCGGCGAGGCGACCAUCCCGUUCCUGGACGCGCCGCCCUUUGUGGCCUUUCUGAUCGGUGAGACCAUCGCUGCCUGCUUCAGCCUCUCCUGCUUCCGCCCCGGGGCAGUGUGCGGUGGAAAAUCCCCACGGGGACAGGAGGAGAGGCCACCGGUCUCCCUGGGGUCCCACGAGGGGCAGGAAGAUCAGCCGGGCGCGGUGGGCACGCCUGUGAUCCCAGCACUCGCGAGGCUGAGGCAGGAGGAUCUCCCCGAAUUGGAAGCCAGCCUGGGCCACGUCGUGAGCUCAAGGCCCGGGUGGGCUGCACAGCGAGCGAGAUUCUGCCUCGGAACGGCCGAGGAAGCCAGCCUGGGGCCGGGGGUCCUGGGAGCUGGGUCAUUUCCGUCUCCGCGGCCGCGGCCGCUUCCGCCUGUUCGUGUUCCGGUUUGUGCGGGGGACAGAGAAGUAGAGCCCUCCCGCCAACGGCUCGGUCGGCCCCGCGGGCCCGGGCCUCGUCGUGUGCUGGCUGGGACAACCCGGCGCGGAGGUUCGAGCAGAGCCCGAGCACCCUGUACUGCGAGCUGGACGUCCGCAGGCGGGGCGCCGAGGCCGAGGCACCGCCCGUGAGUGCCCGCGCCCCGCCCGGCUGCCGCCCUGGGGGUCCUCGCUCGGCUCCCGGAGCCCCUCCUGCCUCAGCCUCCCGGGGAGCUGGGUCCCAGGCGCGCGCCUCCGCACCCGGCUCCUUCUCAUGAGGAGACUUUCCUGUGGCUCUUGGGGUUCCCAGCCCGAGUCCUGCGCGCUGGGGCGCACCCGGCCCUGCGAUCAAUCGCUGGGUCACCCCGGGACCGAGCACCCAGCUGGCCCGGGCCGCUCCUGUCCCGGCUCCCGUUCCCGGGCGUCUGCGGGAGGUGGGGUUGGGGCUGAAGGUCCCCGCAGGUGCAGGGACCAGAAACGCAGCGGGGGGCAGCCCGUGCCGGCACCCAGCGCUCGGGUUGCACGCCGGGUGCUGGGAGCUAAGUCCUCCGCGCAGGUUUUCCAGCGGGGCCGGGAGCGGAACGCGCAUGCGCUGGUGGCGGGGGGCUCGGUGCGCGUGCGCGUACGCCACGUGCGCGGGGCGGUGUGGAGCGACUGGAGCCCGGCGCGCGGCGUCGGUGAGCAUACGCAUGCGCCCGGGGUCCCCAGCCCGAGCCGAGGCCUAGCUGAGCCGAGCCGAAUCGAACCGAGCCGAGCCCGAGCCGAGCCGAGCUGAGCCGAGGCGUAGGCCUGACCUGCGAGUUCCGCAGCCGCCGGGGCCGGGAAAGCUCCCGACCGACCGCGCUCCGAAUGGGGCCGGACUGCGGCCCUUGCUGACCCCCACCCCCUCCAGGCCCGGACCAGGCCUACGGCAGCCUCACCCUGGCCCAGGUGCUGGCCCUGGUGGCGGCGGUGGCGGUGGCCGUGUGCACCGCGGCGCUCACGGUCGUCUGCAAAAGGUACGGGCUGCAGCAGCAGCUC